GGACAGUCAGAAGGAAAUUAGCUCAGUUCUGGAACAAUAAUGGGCGUACCAGCAUUCUGCUGUCACCAGCUCUGGCAUGUCUCUGCUUCUGUCACAGUGGAAAUGAAAACUGAAUCAAUCAGCUCAACCUUACUGGCAAAAGCUUCAAUUAAAAAG
RNAcentral lists this long non-coding RNA (156 nucleotides) under Chinchilla lanigera (long-tailed chinchilla). RNAcentral's name for it is "lncRNA (ENSCLAG00000023948.1)". The record is from RNAcentral. Lineage: Eukaryota; Metazoa; Chordata; Mammalia; Rodentia; Chinchillidae.